UGUACCAGCCCCUGCCCUGGCAGAUCCAGUGCGUGUCCCAGAGCCGCCGCACCAGCCGGGACAGCGAGAGAGGCAGGAACUCCCGGCAUAACAGCAUCUACUCGCUUUCUGGAGAGAAAGGUGACGUGACCCCUGAUGGCAGCAAGGAGAGCAAGGUCACUGACCCAUCUGAGAGAGCAGCUAUCACCAUCCAGACCCACUUCAGGAGGUACCAGCAGCAGAAGCAGGAGAAGAAGUAGCCACAGCAGCCACCUGUGGCCUGCACUGUCCCUCCUGUUUGUGUGUUCUGUUCCCCAGAGACAUUUGGGGCCGUGGUGACCGUGAACCUGCCC
Non-coding RNA from Agelaius phoeniceus (red-winged blackbird), 332 nucleotides. The record is from RefSeq and is a predicted model, not a curated record. NCBI's taxonomy places the organism in Eukaryota, Metazoa, Chordata, Aves, Passeriformes, Icteridae.